GGGGAAUAUUGGACAAUGGGCGAAAGCCUGAUCCAGCCAUGCCGCGUGAGUGAUGAAGGCCCUAGGGUUGUAAAGCUCUUUUACCUGGGAAGAUAAUGACUGUACCAGGAGAAUAAGCCCCGGCUAACUUCGUGCCAGCAGCCGCGGUAAUACGAAGGGGGCUAGCGUUGUUCGGAAUCACUGGGCGUAAAGCGCACGUAGGCGGAUUUUUAAGUCAGGGGUGAAAUCCCGGGGCUCAACCUCGGAACUGCCUUUGAUACUGGAGAUCUUGAGUCCGGGAGAGGUGAGUGGAACUGCGAGUGUAGAGGUGAAAUUCGUAGAUAUUCGCAAGAACACCAGUGGCGAAGGCGGCUCACUGGCCCGGUACUGACGCUGAGGUGCGAAAGCGUGGGGAGCAAAC
This 400-nucleotide ribosomal RNA is filed under the name uncultured bacterium. RNAcentral's name for it is "bacterial SSU rRNA". It matches the Rfam family "Bacterial small subunit ribosomal RNA", at positions 356 to 773 of the family's 1533-position model. The record is from RNAcentral.